UAGUACUAGGAUGGGUGACCUCCCG
Molecule: non-coding RNA, 25 nt
Filed under: Arabidopsis thaliana (thale cress)
Lineage: Eukaryota; Viridiplantae; Streptophyta; Magnoliopsida; Brassicales; Brassicaceae
Source: RNAcentral